ACGACCUUACUUGAACAGGAUCUGUUCUAUAGGAUCCUCUGUGUCCUUGAGUUAUAAGGAGACAGGAACUUGAGUCUGGUGGAUGAAAUCUGGCCGUGUGAUCAGAGCGUAACAGCAUCGCGGUCUUCGGCCGGUGAUGCAGUAGAUAAUCGUUCUCAGCCAUUUGAUGACUGGGGUUCUGACAGACU
Small nucleolar RNA from Tripterygium wilfordii, 188 nucleotides. RefSeq annotates it as small nucleolar RNA U3. The record is from RefSeq and is a predicted model, not a curated record. The transcript has a single exon. NCBI's taxonomy places the organism in Eukaryota, Viridiplantae, Streptophyta, Magnoliopsida, Celastrales, Celastraceae.